RNAcentral lists this ribosomal RNA (513 nucleotides) under uncultured bacterium. RNAcentral describes it as "partial 16S ribosomal RNA". It matches the Rfam family "Bacterial small subunit ribosomal RNA", at positions 28 to 523 of the family's 1533-position model. The record is from RNAcentral.
GACGAACGCUGGCGGCGUGCCUAAUACAUGCAAGUUGAGCGCUGAAGGUUGGUACUUGUACCGACUGGAUGAGCAGCGAACGGGUGAGUAACGCGUGGGGAAUCUGCCUUUGAGCGGGGGACAACAUUUGGAAACGAAUGCUAAUACCGCAUAAAAACUUUAAACACAAGUUUUAAGUUUGAAAGAUGCAAUUGCAUCACUCAAAGAGGAUCCCGCGUUGUAUUAGCUAGUUGGUGAGGUAAAGGCUAACAAAGGCGAUGAUACAUAGCCGACCUGAGAGGGUGAUCGGCCACAUUGGGACUGAGACACGGCCCAAACUCCUACGGGAGGCAGCAGUAGGGAAUCUUCGGCAAUGGACGAAAGUCUGACCGAGCAACGCCGCGUGAGUGAAGAAGGUUUUCGGAUCGUAAAACUCUGUUGGUAGAGAAGAACGUUGGUGAGAGUGGAGAGCUCAUCAAGUGACGGUAACUACCCAGAAAGGGACGGCUAACUACGUGCCAGCAGCCGCCGUAA